CAGCAUCUGAAGUGAAGUAGGACCACCCGCUGAACUUAAGCAUAUCAUUAAGCGGAGGAAAAGAAACUAACAAGGAUUCCCUCAGUACGGGCGACGGAAGCGGAAAAGCC
Molecule: ribosomal RNA, 110 nt
Filed under: uncultured Tintinnida
Lineage: Eukaryota; Ciliophora; Spirotrichea; Tintinnida
Description: partial 28S ribosomal RNA
Rfam family: Eukaryotic large subunit ribosomal RNA
Source: RNAcentral